RNAcentral lists this ribosomal RNA (468 nucleotides) under uncultured bacterium. Its description in RNAcentral is "partial 16S ribosomal RNA". It matches the Rfam family "Bacterial small subunit ribosomal RNA", at positions 28 to 507 of the family's 1533-position model. The record is from RNAcentral.
GACGAACGCUGGCGGCGUGCUUAACACAUGCAAGUCGAACGGAAAGGCCCUGCUUUUGUGGGGUGCUCGAGUGGCGAACGGGUGAGUAACACGUGAGUAACCUGCCCUUGACUUUGGGAUAACUUCAGGAAACUGGGGCUAAUACCGGAUAGGAGCUCCUGCUGCAUGGUGGGGGUUGGAAAGUUUCGGCGGUUGGGGAUGGACUCGCGGCUUACCAGCUUGUUGGUGGGGUAGUGGCUUACCAAGGCUUUGACGGGUAGCCGGCCUGAGAGGGUGACCGGCCACAUUGGGACUGAGAUACGGCCCAGACUCCUACGGGAGGCAGCAGUGGGGAAUAUUGCACAAUGGGCGGAAGCCUGAUGCAGCAACGCCGCGUGCGGGAUGACGGCCUUCGGGUUGUAAACCGCUUUCGCCGGUGACGAAGCGUGAGUGACGGUAAUGGGUAAAGAAGCACCGGCUAACUACGUG